Molecule: ribosomal RNA, 862 nt
Filed under: uncultured eukaryote
Lineage: Eukaryota
Description: eukaryotic LSU rRNA
Rfam family: 5.8S ribosomal RNA (bases 410-563)
Source: RNAcentral
AAAGUCGUAACAAGGUUUCCGUAGGUGAACCUGCGGAAGGAUCAUUAAAGAAAUUUAAUAAUUUUGAAAAUGGAUUUUUUUGUUUUGGCAAGAGCAUGAGAGCUUUUACUGGGCAAGAAGACAAGAGAUGGAGAGUCCAGCCGGGCCUGCGCUUAAGUGCGCGGUCUUGCUAGGCUUGUAAGUUUCUUUCUUGCUAUUCCAAACGGUGAGAGAUUUCUGUGCUUUUGUUAUAGGACAAUUAAAACCGUUUCAAUACAACACACUGUGGAGUUUUCAUAUCUUUGCAACUUUUUCUUUGGGCAUUCGAGCAAUCGGGGCCCAGAGGUAACAAACACAAACAAUUUUAUCUAUUCAUUAAAUUUUUGUCAAAAACAAGAAUUUUCGUAACUGGAAAUUUUAAAAUAUUAAAAACUUUCAACAACGGAUCUCUUGGUUCUCGCAUCGAUGAAGAACGCAGCGAAAUGCGAUACGUAAUGUGAAUUGCAGAAUUCCGUGAAUCAUCGAAUCUUUGAACGCACAUUGCGCCCCUUGGUAUUCCAGGGGGCAUGCCUGUUUGAGCGUCAUUUCCUUCUCAAACAUUCUGUUUGGUAGUGAGUGAUACUCUUUGGAGUUAACUUGAAAUUGCUGGCCUUUUCAUUGGAUGUUUUUUUUCCAAAGAGAGGUUUCUCUGCGUGCUUGAGGUAUAAUGCAAGUACGGUCGUUUUAGGUUUUACCAACUGCGGCUAAUCUUUUUUUAUACUGAGCGUAUUGGAAACGUAUCGAUAAGAAGAGAGCGUCUAGGCGAACAAUGUUUCUUAAAGUUUGACCUCAAAUCAAGGUAAGAAGUACCCGGCUGAACUUUAAGCAUAUCAAUAAAGCGGGA